UGGGGAAUUUUGGACAAUGGGCGAAAGCCUGAUCCAGCAAUGCCGCGUGUGUGAAGAAGGCCUUCGGGUUGUAAAGCGCUUUUGUCCGGAAAGAAAUCCUUGGCUCUAAUACAGUCGGGGGAUGACGGUACCGGAAGAAUAAGCACCGGCUAACUACGUGCCAGCAGCCGCGGUAAUACGUAGGGUGCAAGCGUUAAUCGGAAUUACUGGGCGUAAAGCGUGCGCAGGCGGUUUGCUAAGACCGAUGUGAAAUCCCCGGGCUCAACCUGGGAACUGCAUUGGUGACUGGCAGGCUAGAGUAUGGCAGAGGGGGGUAGAAUUCCACGUGUAGCAGUGAAAUGCGUAGAGAUGUGGAGGAAUACCGAUGGCGAAGGCAGCCCCCUGGGCCAAUACUGACGCUCAUGCACGAAAGCGUGGGGAGCAAACAGGAUUAGAUACCCUGGUAGUCCACGCCCUAAACGAUGUCAACUAGUUGUUGGGGAUUCAUUUCCUUAGUAACGUAGCUAACGCGUGAAGUUGACCGCCUGGGGAGUACGGUCGCAAGAUU
Molecule: ribosomal RNA, 547 nt
Filed under: uncultured bacterium
Lineage: Bacteria
Description: partial 16S ribosomal RNA
Rfam family: Bacterial small subunit ribosomal RNA
Source: RNAcentral